This 1549-nucleotide ribosomal RNA is filed under the name Salmonella enterica subsp. enterica serovar Poona. Its description in RNAcentral is "bacterial SSU rRNA". It matches the Rfam family "Bacterial small subunit ribosomal RNA". The record is from RNAcentral. Lineage: Bacteria; Pseudomonadati; Pseudomonadota; Gammaproteobacteria; Enterobacterales; Enterobacteriaceae.
GAAGAGUUUGAUCAUGGCUCAGAUUGAACGCUGGCGGCAGGCCUAACACAUGCAAGUCGAACGGUAACAGGAAGCAGCUUGCUGCUUUGCUGACGAGUGGCGGACGGGUGAGUAAUGUCUGGGAAACUGCCUGAUGGAGGGGGAUAACUACUGGAAACGGUGGCUAAUACCGCAUAACGUCGCAAGACCAAAGAGGGGGACCUUCGGGCCUCUUGCCAUCAGAUGUGCCCAGAUGGGAUUAGCUUGUUGGUGAGGUAACGGCUCACCAAGGCGACGAUCCCUAGCUGGUCUGAGAGGAUGACCAGCCACACUGGAACUGAGACACGGUCCAGACUCCUACGGGAGGCAGCAGUGGGGAAUAUUGCACAAUGGGCGCAAGCCUGAUGCAGCCAUGCCGCGUGUAUGAAGAAGGCCUUCGGGUUGUAAAGUACUUUCAGCGGGGAGGAAGGUGUUGUGGUUAAUAACCGCAGCAAUUGACGUUACCCGCAGAAGAAGCACCGGCUAACUCCGUGCCAGCAGCCGCGGUAAUACGGAGGGUGCAAGCGUUAAUCGGAAUUACUGGGCGUAAAGCGCACGCAGGCGGUCUGUCAAGUCGGAUGUGAAAUCCCCGGGCUCAACCUGGGAACUGCAUUCGAAACUGGCAGGCUUGAGUCUUGUAGAGGGGGGUAGAAUUCCAGGUGUAGCGGUGAAAUGCGUAGAGAUCUGGAGGAAUACCGGUGGCGAAGGCGGCCCCCUGGACAAAGACUGACGCUCAGGUGCGAAAGCGUGGGGAGCAAACAGGAUUAGAUACCCUGGUAGUCCACGCCGUAAACGAUGUCUACUUGGAGGUUGUGCCCUUGAGGCGUGGCUUCCGGAGCUAACGCGUUAAGUAGACCGCCUGGGGAGUACGGCCGCAAGGUUAAAACUCAAAUGAAUUGACGGGGGCCCGCACAAGCGGUGGAGCAUGUGGUUUAAUUCGAUGCAACGCGAAGAACCUUACCUGGUCUUGACAUCCACAGAACAUUCCAGAGAUGGAUUGGUGCCUUCGGGAACUGUGAGACAGGUGCUGCAUGGCUGUCGUCAGCUCGUGUUGUGAAAUGUUGGGUUAAGUCCCGCAACGAGCGCAACCCUUAUCCUUUGUUGCCAGCGGUCCGGCCGGGAACUCAAAGGAGACUGCCAGUGAUAAACUGGAGGAAGGUGGGGAUGACGUCAAGUCAUCAUGGCCCUUACGACCAGGGCUACACACGUGCUACAAUGGCGCAUACAAAGAGAAGCGACCUCGCGAGAGCAAGCGGACCUCAUAAAGUGCGUCGUAGUCCGGAUUGGAGUCUGCAACUCGACUCCAUGAAGUCGGAAUCGCUAGUAAUCGUGGAUCAGAAUGCCACGGUGAAUACGUUCCCGGGCCUUGUACACACCGCCCGUCACACCAUGGGAGUGGGUUGCAAAAGAAGUAGGUAGCUUAACCUUCGGGAGGGCGCUUACCACUUUGUGAUUCAUGACUGGGGUGAAGUCGUAACAAGGUAACCGUAGGGGAACCUGCGGUUGGAUCACCUCCUUACCUUAAAGAAGC